GGCCUCGUAGCUCAGCCUGGUAGAGCACUGGACUCUUAAUCCAGGUGUCGCGGGUUCGAAUCCCGUCGGGGCCA
This 74-nucleotide transfer RNA is filed under the name Nanobdellota archaeon. RNAcentral describes it as "tRNA-Lys". It matches the Rfam family "tRNA". Rfam says of the family: Transfer RNA (tRNA) molecules are approximately 80 nucleotides in length. Their secondary structure includes four short double-helical elements and three loops (D, anti-codon, and T loops). Further hydrogen bonds mediate the characteristic L-shaped molecular structure. tRNAs have two regions of fundamental functional importance: the anti-codon, which is responsible for specific mRNA codon recognition, and the 3' end, to which the tRNAs corresponding amino acid is attached (by aminoacyl-tRNA synthetases). tRNAs cope with the degeneracy of the genetic code in two manners: having more than one tRNA (with a specific anti-codon) for a particular amino acid; and 'wobble' base-pairing, i.e. permitting non-standard base-pairing at the 3rd anti-codon position. The record is from RNAcentral. Lineage: Archaea; Nanobdellati; Nanobdellota.